CUCCGGGGGGCACCGCAGUGGGAAAUCUUGGACAAGGGGGGAAAGCGAAGCCUGAUCCAGCAAUGCCGCGUGUGUGAAGAAGGCCUUCGGGUUGUAAAGCACUUUUGUCCGGAAAGAAAUAGUCUGGGUUAAUACCUGGGGCUGAUGACGGUACCGGAAGAAUAAGCACCGGCUAACUACGUGCCAGCAGCCGCGGUAAUACUUAAGGGUGCAAGCGUUAAUCGGAAUUACUGGGCGUAAAGCGUGCGCAGGCGGUUUUGUAAGACCGAUGUGAAAUCCCCGGGCUCAACCUGGGAACUGCAUUUGUGACUGCAAGGCUAGAGUAUGGCAGAGGGGGGUAGAAUUCCACGUGUAGCAGUGAAAUGCGUAGAGAUGUGGAGGAAUACCGAUGGCGAAGGCAGCCCCCUGGGCCAAUACUGACGCUCAUGCACGAAAGCGUGGGGAGCAAACAGGAUUAGAUACCCUGGUAGUCCACGCCCUAAACGAUGUCAACUAGUUGUUGGGAUUUUUGGCCUUAUUAACGCUAGCUAACGCGUGAAGUUGACCGCCUGGGGAGUAC
RNAcentral lists this ribosomal RNA (559 nucleotides) under uncultured Pandoraea sp. Its description in RNAcentral is "bacterial SSU rRNA". It matches the Rfam family "Bacterial small subunit ribosomal RNA", at positions 339 to 883 of the family's 1533-position model. The record is from RNAcentral. Lineage: Bacteria; Pseudomonadati; Pseudomonadota; Betaproteobacteria; Burkholderiales; Burkholderiaceae.